Molecule: ribosomal RNA, 558 nt
Rfam family: 5.8S ribosomal RNA (bases 172-325)
AACCUGCGGAGGGAUCAUUACCGAGUCUAAACAACUCAUCAACCCUGUGAACAUACCUAAAACGUUGCUUCGGCGGGAACAGACGGCCCCGUGAAACGGGCCGCCCCCGCCAGAGGACCCCCUAACUCUGUUGCUAUAUGUAUCUUCUGAGUAAACAAGCAAAUAAAUUAAAACUUUCAACAACGGAUCUCUUGGCUCUGGCAUCGAUGAAGAACGCAGCGAAAUGCGAUAAGUAAUGUGAAUUGCAGAAUUCAGUGAAUCAUCGAAUCUUUGAACGCACAUUGCGCCCGCCAGUAUUCUGGCGGGCAUGCCUGUUCGAGCGUCAUUACAACCCUCAGGCCCCCGGGCCUGGCGUUGGGGAUCGGCGAGGCGCCCCCCGCGGGCACGCGCCGUCCCCCAAAUACAGUGGCGGUCCCGCCGCAGCUUCCAUUGCGUAGUAGCUAACACCUCGCAACUGGAGAGCGGCGCGGCCAUGCCGUAAAACACCCAACUUCUGAAUGUUGACCUCGAAUCAGGUAGGAAUACCCGCUGAACUUAAGCAUAUCAAUAAGCGGAGGA